UAAUUCUUGCAGAAUAAAGGGGCUAGCUAUUAGCAUAAUCGGGAAUUCGGUGUAAGGCCGAAGCUGUUUCCGCAACUGUAAGUGCAGAUGAAGUAAGAGAAAUGCCACUGUCGAAAGAAGAAAAAUGCUUCUACUAGAUGGGAAGGCGCUUAUGAUUUUGCUACAAAAUUAUUGUAGUAAGCUGCACAAGCCAGGAGACCGACCUUUAUUUGAGCGUAUAA
This 221-nucleotide non-coding RNA is filed under the name Lysinibacillus contaminans. The record is from RNAcentral. Lineage: Bacteria; Bacillati; Bacillota; Bacilli; Caryophanales; Bacillaceae.